UUUUGAUUGACACUUAACAAAUUCCCUUAUUCACCUGCCUGGCCAUGGGUGGGUGCUCUAUAGCCUAUACUAUGCAUUACCACUUAAGAUGGAGUCAUUAUUGUGGAAGGCAUCAAUCGUAAAAAAUAGAUGCAAGAGUAAUUAAUUAAGUCUUGUUGACACUAGCCUGAGUAUCAGGCCAUAUUUUUCCUUCCUUAUUGCGGGUGGAUGGAAGGGAAAAGAGAGCCUGACACAAAUCCCUGUCUGGCUCUAAAAUUAAAAUCCAGCUUUUCAACCAGUUGGUCUAUCAGACAAAAAAUUUUAAUCUGGCUUUUGAUUGGUUUAGUGCUAUAAUUAGAUUGUUGUUAUUGUUGUAUGUUCCCUUGGAACAUUUUGAUUGGAUACUAAAUAUAACCUUCACUGUGGGUGGAGAGCGACCAGGCUAAGGUUUGUGUCACACUCUAUUUGUAAAAUACUGAUACUCGGGCUACGCAAACAGUGUUGCUGGUAUUCCUCUCCUUAUAGGUCUUGGAAUUCAUUAUUAUAUUUGGGUUCUCUUUCAAGAAGCCCCAUUUUUAUAUUUUUUUAAAUCGUGCCACUUCCCUUAUGAAAAACUCCACAUAUUUCACAUAUGAAACAAAAAUUAGAAUGAAAUUAAAAAAAGUCUUUCAUAUAAAUAAAUAUGUAAAUAAAGGUUUGUGUGUAAAAAUGUACAUUGCGAAUUUUUUACA
Paramuricea clavata is the source of this 710-nucleotide non-coding RNA. The record is from the annotation of a GenBank genome assembly. Lineage: Eukaryota; Metazoa; Cnidaria; Anthozoa; Malacalcyonacea; Plexauridae.